UGGGGAAUAUUGCACAAUGGGCGCAAGCCUGAUGCAGCCAUGCCGCGUGUGUGAAGAAGGCUUUCGGGUUGUAAAGCACUUUCAGCGGGGAGGAAGGCGGUGAGGUUAAUAACCUCAUCGAUUGACGUUACCCGCAGAAGAAGCACCGGCUAACUCCGUGCCAGCAGCCGCGGUAAUACGGAGGGUGCAAGCGUUAAUCGGAAUUACUGGGCGUAAAGCGCACGCAGGCGGUCUGUCAAGUCGGAUGUGAAAUCCCCGGGCUCAACCUGGGAACUGCAUUCGAAACUGGCAGGCUAGAGGCUUGUAGAGGGGGGUAGAAUUCCAGGUGUAGCGGUGAAAUGCGUAGAGAUCUGGAGGAAUACCGGUGGCGAAGGCGGCCCCCUGGACAAAGACUGACGCUCAGGUGCGAAAGCGUGGGGAGCAAACAGG
Molecule: ribosomal RNA, 429 nt
Filed under: Chloroflexota bacterium
Lineage: Bacteria; Bacillati; Chloroflexota
Description: Chloroflexi bacterium partial 16S ribosomal RNA
Rfam family: Bacterial small subunit ribosomal RNA
Source: RNAcentral